Molecule: long non-coding RNA, 572 nt
Organism: Triticum aestivum (bread wheat)
Lineage: Eukaryota; Viridiplantae; Streptophyta; Magnoliopsida; Poales; Poaceae
Exons: 3
Source: RefSeq, a predicted model, not a curated record
CGAGCCCGACGAGCUGGACGAGUUCGGCCACCAUGAUUCCCCACAGAACAAGGUCGACCCUCUCGCUCUGUUUUUCUUUUCUUUCCAAGUGGUUGCUCUCAAAUUUUCUUGGACUGAACCUGAUGCAGAAAACGUGGCCACUUCCUUUCCUCAUACUCGCAUGUUACAGCCAACGACAGAGUAGCACAGGGCUAAUGUUGUUGUCCGGAAGCAACUCCAGGAACCAGCUUCAAAUAGCUCUUGUAUUCAUCUGGAAUUUGAUAUUUCAGGCACAGGUCUUGUUGCAGGUUCCAAGAAAUCAGAGGCUCCUUUUUCAAAUCGGAUACACAGAGAAAUACAUGGAGAAAUCAGGGGCUCCUUUUUCGGAUCGGUUCCAAGAAAAUGCAGAGUUAUGUAGUAAUUUUUGUUUAGAGGCUCCUUUUUCAGAUUUGUUCCAAGAAAAUGCAAAGUGAUGUAGUAAUAAUGUUUGUAAAUACUUGAUGAGCUAUCUAUGUAAAUAUGUAUUUUGGUAUCUGAACAUUGCCAUGAUUGUAAUAAGUUUGGGCUGUUAUGUGAAAAUUAAAUUUUAUUUA